GGGGAUGCUCUGGAUUCGAUUGAAAUUGUUGUGUUUAGAGUUUGCAUGCAGCGGUACGGGUCCGCUUAUAAAUCCGUAAUUGCAAUAAACGCAAACGAAAAUUACGCUUUAGCGGCAUAAGCCGUUACGGCCUCCGCGGAGUUUUCCCCGUACUUCAAAGAUGCGCCGUAAACCAACGGGGAUGGGUUGUUCGAUAUCUCUAAGGACGACUAAGAUUUAGAGGUUGCCGGAAAUAAUAGGAGCGUCGGUUGCCGGUUAUUUCCCUAAGAACUAAUUACCGAAUAAGCAUGUAGUAUGCUCGAAUGCAGAUUUUAAGACGCGGGUUCGAUUCCCGCCAUCUCCA
RNAcentral lists this transfer-messenger RNA (343 nucleotides) under Spirochaetes bacterium ADurb.Bin133. RNAcentral describes it as "transfer-messenger RNA, SsrA". It matches the Rfam family "transfer-messenger RNA". From Rfam's summary of the family: Bacterial tmRNA, also known as 10Sa RNA or SsrA, is named for its dual tRNA and mRNA-like properties. Its role is to liberate the mRNA from a stalled ribosome. Lineage: Bacteria; Pseudomonadati; Spirochaetota. The record is from RNAcentral.